Molecule: ribosomal RNA, 529 nt
Filed under: uncultured bacterium
Lineage: Bacteria
Description: bacterial SSU rRNA
Rfam family: Bacterial small subunit ribosomal RNA
Source: RNAcentral
GGCGGCGUGCCUAACACAUGCAAGUCGAACGAAAUAGGCGAAAGCUUAUUUAGUGGCGGACGGGUGAGUAACACGUAGGUAACCAACCUUGAUGAGGGGAAUAGCCUCCCGAAAGGGAGAAUAAAACCGCAUAAUGUUAUAUAUACGCAUGUAUGUAUAAAGAAAAGAGCAAUCUGCAUCGAGACGGGCCUGCGUCGCAUUAGCUAGUUGGUGGGGUAAAAGCCUACCAAGGCAACGAUGCGUAGCCGAUCUGAGAGGAUGACCGGCCACAUUGGAACUGAGAGACGGUCCAGACUCCUACGGGAGGCAGCAGUGGGGAAUAUUGCACAAUGGGGGGAACCCUGAUGCAGCGACGCCGCGUGAGCGAAGAAGGGCCUUCGGGUUGUAAAGCUCUGUCAUUUGGGAAGAAAUAAGACGGUACCAAAUGAGGAAGCCACGGCUAACUACGUGCCAGCAGCCGCGGUAAUACGUAGGUGGCGAGCGUUGUCCGGAAUGACUGGGCGUAAAGGAUCGUUAGCGGAUAGAUAAU